Molecule: long non-coding RNA, 6283 nt
Organism: Dreissena polymorpha
Lineage: Eukaryota; Metazoa; Mollusca; Bivalvia; Myida; Dreissenidae
Exons: 2
Source: RefSeq, a predicted model, not a curated record
CGGACGUUGUUUAUUUAUAUUGAAACGCGUGAAUAAUUUAAAAGAACUGUAUACGAGUAGUGUUUAAUAUAAGUGUUCAUGGAUAGAUCAACUUCUGUAUACAGCUUUUUCACAAACCAUGCCUAGAAUUGUAGAGCAGUCUACAUUAAGUGAAGGAUAUCAUGUUUCAAUCGUGUUAUGAGGUAAAGGGAACUGUGUGUUUACUUCUUCGAGAACUUCAAAAGAUGGGUACGGAAGUGCAUAGAAAGAUGAGAAACGAGCCCAAUUAAUAUAGAGGCUACAAAAAGCAGUUCUUGAUGGCAACGAUAUUGUCCACGAAGGAACUAGAGGAGAGAGAUUUUUCUGCCCUCCACACAUUUCAACAAUUUUUGAGUACAGUUUAGGACAUGGUAGACAAACAGAAGCGCCUGAUUCACCAUGGAAGGUGUAUUUUUAUUCUGAAUAUGCCUACAUAAAAGGAUUACACGCACGUUGAGGCCAGACUUCUAGAUCCAACAGGCGAAAUAAGACAUAAGCUGAAAAUAGGAAAUCCGCUGACGGACGAUGAUAAACAUGAUGUCGAAUUCUAUUUGGACCAAAUGCGAGGCGAGUUUUAUAACCAGUAUCCAGAUAAUUUUAGACCAAGUCUGAUUAUAUUCUCAUACAAUGCGCCUUGCACCUGCGCCAAAAACAACUGUGCUUUGGUUGUAAGUGAAUUCGGCAAAGCAGCAAAAGAAAAUGUCUAUGUAGGGUAUUCCCAUGUCUUUAGUACAACCGACGAAGAGAUGUCCGUAAGACUGAUGGAAUCAGCCGGCGUACAUGUAGUUCAACCGGGCGAGUUACGUUGUUAUGCUGUGAGCAUGAAUGCAUGCGAUAUAUAUACAUCAGGAAACCUAUCAGGAAAUGGAGAAUCAAUGCCUAGCAAGUAUGACAUAUGACCAAGCACCAACCGUUAUAAAUAGCCCGAUUGAUAAGAAGGAAAACAAACGCGAUGUUCUAUCGUCGUUGUCUCACUUUCGCCAGAAGAAAAUCAUCAAAAGGUUGAAAAGAUAACAAAGCAAGCAAAAGGCCAAGCGCCUAAUGAAUAAUUUGCAUCGCAAUUAACAAGUAACAUCUAAUUUUAGCAGACACAGGCCUGUUACAUUCAUAUUUUGUGUGUUUAGUACGCGAUUUUGAUCAGUUUGGACAUAUAUUGAUAUGAACUGGGGUUUAAUAUAAUGUUUUACCUUUACUGUAAAUACUUGUUCUGGUAUCAUCAUUCCAAUAGUCAGUGUGUUUAAACAAACAUAACAAGUAAGCAUAUGCAUAUGGAUCUGAUUGUUCACAGAUCCCAAUACAUAUAAAUAAAUUCAUAUUUGUUACUUGCCACUUAAGCCAGAAAUGUGUAAAUCGUUCUUUCCUGUUUAAGUUUACUUGUAGGAGGUUUUAUCGUGACGUCACAUGAGGGGUUUUCCGUUACUUAAAAUAGAUUGGCCGUCAACCCUCUCGAUCGCGGCCAUUUAGAUUGUAUCAGAGUAAAAGUCGUCGGUAGACUAAAUACUGACAUUUUCACACAAACAAACUAUACAUACACGUAUUCUUUCUUAAAGUAAGACGUUUAUAAAUGAUAUUUCAAAAAUAAUAAAACAUAUAAUAUGUUGAUUACAAUUAUAAGUGGUGUGAAUGCGAAAGUGUUAUUAAUCGUCAGCGAUCGAAAUUUAAGAGGUGCAUUGAAUCAGUUAUAAAACUAAGCCCUGAAAAGCGCAAAACAUUACAAUCUUUAAAUGUAGUUUUAAUUUUCUUUUACAUUGAAUGAAUUCUCGUUUCGUUUACAUUGAAUGAAAAAAUUAAUAAAUUUAAUUAGCAUUCAAAUGGAUAAAACACCUGCAUAUUUUGAAAAUUGAACUGGCAUAUACAUGUAUAUUGAAAACUCUUUACCAGUGUUAAUUAGCGGUACAAAUCUAACAUUUUAUGAAACCAUAAAUCUAAACAUUUAAUUUAUUUUACGCAGGUAUUUUAUAUCCCUACUAUGAUCAAACGCGUUUGCAUGUUUUCAUGAUGAUGUUUCGAACACUGCAGUAACGCACGAUCUUUACACGUUAUAGCGGAGUUUACAUGUGCAGGUACCCGUUAAAUACGUUAAUUGUAUAGCAGUACAUUUGUAAAAUAUUUUUAAUGUAUAGUUAUUAAACACUUUCAUUGUUAUGUUUAAACUGGCUAAUAUACAUUAUACAUUUUAAAUGUCCUGUUAAUCCAUGUCAGACAAAUGUCUAUUUUUUAAAUACGUUCAAAUAUUUUAUUAAAGCAACUGUUAAGUAUUUGGCUUAAAUGACAGCUCAAUAUGCCAAGAGAUGACAUGGAGGUAUCAUACAUUGUGUUUAAUGACCAGACACAUGUGGUUUAUGCAGGGUAUAGGUCCCCGGGUUUAUGACACCCUAGCUGCUUUCUUAGUAAUUGUCUUGACAUUAUUCGAUCAUAUUGAGAUAAUCGGUUGGUGAUGAACAAAUGGGCAAUUAAACACUGGGAUAAAAAUGCUGAAACAAUGAGUGUCAAAAUUGGUGUGAACAAUUAAAUAAAAACAAAUACAUUUAUCAAGAGGAUUUAAUUAAUCUGUAACAAGGUAAGUUUUUACAGACAUAUAGGUUCAAAUCUGUUCGUGUUGAUUAAAUAAAAUCAAUCUAUUUGUUGUUUAUUUUCGUCCUUAUUAAUUUUGUGUUCGUUCAUUGAAUUCAAUUUAUUCUGAAAGAAUUUCAAUUUCUGAGUAUUUUGUUGUUCUCAAAAAGGGUCGCGAAUAUGUGUGAAGUAGAGAUUAUUAUGGUAACCUUAUCACGAUGCGAUUCAUCAAAUGCAGACAAUAGCACAAUGGCCGCAGUGUUGACGCCCAAAAUUUAAGCAUGCGCAAACGUGACGUCAUUAUCGGAGUCCCUAAAACUUCCUGUGGACUGUCUGUUCCGAGAUACAUUUUCACCUCAAUUAUUUACAAUAUAAGUUCAUUGCCCAUACCUUAAAGAACGGCAUUUAAUGAAUUAAUAUAUAUAUAUUUUAUUUAUCCAUAUGUGUGGCACGUUGAUCUUUGAAAUUAUACUUAUUAUUCGUAUUUUUCACUAGUAAUCGGCAUGUGUUUCUCCACUGUCCGCCAUCUUGUAAUGUUGACUUGUGGGUAAUUUUCGCAUAGCAACACACUGCGGUGUAAACAGAAGCUUUACUUGCUCUAUAUUAAAGCUUUAGGUAAGAAAGCUGCACUAUUUUUAGCAGACGAAAUGUUAAUAUUUAGUUCAUAUAAUCUGUUUUAAAUUGUUAAUUCAUUUAAAGUCUAUUUUAUGAUUUACAAAGGUUUAGCGUGCUAGCGUUCCAUGAUUGGUCACGGCAGUUAUUGUGACCCGUUUUCGGUCUCACAGUGACCAAUAUUUGGUCACAGUGAUCUGGUCACAAGUGGAACGCCGCGGCUAUAUAAAGUGACCAAAAUUUGGUCACAAGAUUUAUUCUAGUUUAACAUCUUAUAGAGGUAACAUCAAUAACUUUUUUUUUUUUUAAAGUAAUAUUAAAGUUUUACAAUAGUAACGGUUGUACUGAAAUAUAUAAAUAGCCAUACAUUUAGUCAUUCCAGUUUUUGAUGUUAUUAAUAAUUUCAAAGAGAAGCGUCAUUGAAUCUUAGCCAUUAAGUAUUACGUCUAUUUUAAUGGUGUUCAGUCCUACAUUUGAUAGACUACGCUACCGUAUUUGAGUAAAUUGAAAAUAAACUAUUUAGAUACAGGACGCUCAUGUCAAAGAAUUGUAAAAUUCGUUAAUAUAUUUUAAGUCGUUAUUUGCAUGUCCGUUCGAAUCUGUGAACGCUGCGGCUUAAUAAAAUUGUUGAAAAUUUGAAACGAGGCUUGCGUUAGUCAAUCGUCAAGUUUUGACCACGGAACGCAACAAUAUGCCAUACUGCGUUACAUGAAAGGCGUGUCUUUCAAGAAAGGGGCUUUAUUUAAGGACAAACAAGGUCAACCUAUAAAUGCUGCAAAUUUCCGCUCUAUACUUCGCUCAUGUGUUAUGGCCUGCAACUUAGAUCCAACUCUAUUCACUGGUCAUUCAUUCCGCAUAGGUGGGGCCACAUUUGCACAUGCUAUGGGUAUGUCUCCAACCAUAAUUCAGAAGCUAGGCCGUUGGAAAUCAUCAGCAUAUCUAAAAUACAUUCGCCCUCAGCUAUACCAAUAAAACUCUAAUCUUAAACUUCACAUUCCUAGUCUGUUUUAGGCAGCAGGGGAUGAUAUUGUACCUGACUUAUUGGCCAGUACCUGCUCAAAAGACUCUUAUUUUAUUCGUAUCCUUGCUUUUGUACAUGUUAAAUAAUUUCUCCAUGUACCAGGUAGUCACAGAUGUUUGGAUUCUACUUCAUUUGUAUUGUCCAGUCGCCGGGUGUUAUUAUACCAGCUUCUGUACGGAACAUACAUGCAGUUUGUACAUGUCCAUUGCUGAAAGCUCUUAGACAUGCGGGACUGAGGUCAUGACAUAUGCAGGAUGUUCCGUUUUAGGCGGACAUCUUGGCUUUUUCCUCCAAUAAGCCCCGCAUAUCUAGUAGCAAAUGUUCUGUUUUUUGGGAGACUUUUUGCCUGGCUAGAUAUUGUUUUUAGAUUAUUUUAAUAACUUUCGACUAAGCUUAGACCAUGUAUUAUGUAAAUAGUUAUGUUUUUGCUUUGGAUUUAUUGUUAUGAUUACCUUAUAGUUCUUAUAUAGUGUUACACAUACAUGUAUAUCUGAUACACCAAACAUGGACCCACAGAAAGCAAUAAAAGAAAUCUUAGUGUGUAUUGUUAAUGGAGUUUCUGGUUAGUACGGAAACUCCAUUCAUUCACAUUCGUAUUCAAUCUCAUUAGAAAUUAAUUGAUAUAUGUUUCCAAAUGCUAGGUCUGAGGGGGUUCUGUUUAAGGCAGACUAACUCAGAUUUUGCUUUCAUGUUAAUUUUUGUAAGUUAGAUAAUUGUUAAACUACUUAGCCGCUUUGGAAUAUCUAUACUUUGGGGACCAGCGUGGUUUCCUCUGGGCGUUUCUCGUGGCGGUUUUUUUGCCACCCAGAUAUGUCACAUCUAAAUAUAGGUUUUUUCAUAUUUGACAUAUUGUGGUUAAUGUUUACAUCACAUAUAAGAAAAUGAUGUUUUAUACUAGACAUACUUAGGAUGUCUCCGUUUUGGCAUAAAUAAAUGCCCAUAUUCAGCAUAAUCCGUCUUGUGUCUUUAUAUGUGUCAAACUUGUCCAACCACACCGGUUCCUCCUAUACUACGUGUGGUUGUUCUGCAUUUCUGGAUCUGAACAGACCAUAAAUAAUAUUUUAUGCAGUCAUAAAAUCUUUUAUGGGACUGAUUAGAUCUUUUGUUGAUAAUGACCAAGAAGCCGAAUCUUAAACUAAGGUUUAUUUAACUUGAAAGUUAUAAAUAGGACAUUAGGUUACAUUCUAUAAAUAGCACGGUUUGACCAAUCAAUAGGCAGCUUGGCCAUUUUGUUUUAUCGUUGAAGGAGGAAAGGCUUGUUUCUAUCAACAGCUAACCUCCUCCUCCCCACCUGCCGCCUUGAGUUUUUUUUUUCACUGUGAUGUACAUGUAUUGUUAAUUUUAACAACGUAUAAUUUUUGUAUUGUAUUGUUCAAACAUUUAUGUCAACAUUAUGGUUUGUCAAGAACUCACUUAAUGAAGCCACUUAUGUUUACCUCAUAUUUCCGUAAUGACAAACUUGUUACCUUUUAACGUUGUUGAUACAACAUGCCAAGUGGCAUUUUCGUCACAACUUUGAACUGUCUUGUAACAUUCAUUAUAACUUGAUCUGCGUUUUUUUUCCACCCAGAUAUAUAUGACCCUAAAUAUAUGUUUUUUCAUAUUUGACAUAUUAUGGUUUAUGUUUACAUCACAUAUAAGAAAAUGAUGUUUUAUACUAGACAUACUUAGGAUGUCUCAGUUUUGGCAUAAAUAAAUGCCCAUAUUCAGCAUAAUCCUUCUUGUGUCUUUAUAUGUAUCAUACUAGUCCAACCACACCGGUCCCUCCUAUACUACUUGUGGUUGUUCUGCAUUUCUGGAUCUGAACAGACCAUACAUUUCAUUCAUGUGUUACACUUAUUGAUAAUAUUUCGAUAUUUGGUAACUAAUUAAACGGGUUAUCAAUGUCCUGUGUAAAAGACGAAGACAAAGAGCGGUGAUGCCAAUAACAAAGUGUUAAUUAUUUAACAAGACAUUUAUUUUCGGUAUUGUUAUUCGUGUAUUUUUAAUAAUUCUAAAUAAUCGUGAGUGUGUUAAAAUGUUAGAAUAUACUUGAAUACUUGUAAACAAUACUAAUUUACGAUAAAUAUUAUAUUAUUA